AGGCACCAGCAGGAAGAGCCACCCGGGGAGGGCCGGGCUGAGACCGGUGUGGACGCUGCUGCCCAGUUCCCUUCCUUCCAAGGAAGAGGGUUAUUAAUUUUUUCUCUUUCUUUUCUUUCUUCUUUUUUUCCUCCUUUUCUUUCUUUUCUUUCUCUUCUUUGCAAGCCCCUUUUCUGGCUACUUGCAAUCUGCCCGUGCCUCCCGCAGCCCUGCCGAGCCGACGCAGGAAAGUGUUUAGAUUUGCCUGCCAGGCUGCCUGUUUGCAGGCGGACAGGGAUGCUUGGGGAUUUACGUUUAUUUUUUUUAUGAAUUAUUUUGUGUGUGUGUUUUGGCCAGCGUUCCCCAUCUGGGGUUGGGAGCAGCCCUGGGGUGAAGGCAGCGGCGAGCCCUCUUCCCCCAGCAAUUUUCGAUUGGGAAUUUCAGAGCCAGCGGGAGAAACGGCGCCUUGCUUUUAAGCACUGUUCACAUGAAAAGAAAUGCGUUUCCAGCCUGUCAGCCUAGGGACUGUUGAGGAAUGGUGGGUUCACCGGCAGCUGGGUGAUCGUGACUAAAACCUGCCUCCCGCGCUGUGCUGCUGGGGCUGGCACAUCCGUGCCAUUGCCGCACGCGCCGUGGGCAUGGCAGCAUACCCAUGGCACGGUGCCAUCGGCAGCCGUGGAGAAGCAGCGUGUCCCCUGCUGCCGGGUCACUGCUCCGCUCGCUUGGUUGCCGUCCAGCAGAGAUUUGCAGUGCCAAGUGUGAGGCUAGGUGGUCUGAAGGUCCUUCCUGCCAUUGGCAUGGAGGAGUUAUGAACUGCAGGACCCGUUUGGAAGCGAGGAGAUCUGCUUGCACGCUGUCCCUGCGCCCUGACACCCCCCAGGCUAUGUCGUUGACGUGUGAAAGAUGCCCCAGCUCUGGGUAACUGCCUCCAAGCCCCCUUCGGCGGCGGACAUGCCUGAGACCCCAGCCUGAAAUGUGAACCUCAGCAUUAGGAAGACUUGGGGCACCGGGUUGCGCAAGAGCCCAGCUCCCAGCCUCCUCACAGCGGUGGGGUAUUGCAUGCCAUGGUUUCUGUGUGUCUGGAAGUGAUUUGAAAAAGCCGAUCUGCUGUUAACCCUAAACAAAACAAAGGCCUUAAAAAAAAAUUAAAAAAAAUCUUGUCUCAUUCUUCAAUUGCUAGCCAGGAGCUACAGAGGUUUCGGGCUAGAUUUCCUUCACGUUCCUGGAGCCUCUCAUUAAUAUUUUGCAAGAGCAAAUCAGCACCAGUCCACGGGAGAGCCCGUACGGCUGCAAGAAGCCUCCUCUCUGCUCUUCCCCAUCCUGCCCUGGCUGUACAGCUGAGGAAGGUGCUGGAGCAUCGCCACGCCAGAGGAGCAGCCGUGUGCCGCUGGCCGGAGCUGAGCCCCCGAGCUGCUGGAGUCUUUGGCUCUUUGCUCCUGCCCUGGGAACAGCAAGGGGAAGACCCCCUGGUCCCGCUGCCUUGGACUCCUGGUGCUGUGAGGGACCCAGCCUCCUGCCUGUGUCUCGCAGCUGCUGCCCACCUUGAAAAGCAACUGGACCAAAAGCGGUCCCCAGCGCCCUUGGGGACAUUGCUGCAUGGGGACGCCCCGAUGGGGACCCAAUGGCUCUGGGGAUCCUGGGGAGGCGGUUGCCUGCUUUCUGAGCAUCACCCCAGCUGGGCCUGGAGGAAGAGGAGCCCUCUGUAGCAUCCCUGGAGGAAGGGGAGCCCUUUGCAGCAUCCCUGGAGGAAGAAGAGAACCUUUGCAGCAUCCCUGGAAGUGACAACCUUCUCCGAAGCUCGCAGCCCAUCUCCUUGCACAGGGGUCUGGUGGCCACCUCUGCUUCACCAAGGCUUUCAGCGUCCAGCAGAAAUGAUGAGGAUGUUGCAGAGAGCAACCUCACCUUCAUAUAGACAGGGAAACUCUCAGUGCCAAACCCAAGUGGAAGAGAGGAGUUUUGGCUCAGAGUGGGGCAGACGUUGCCAUGGCUCUGUGCCUCAGUUUCCCCGUGUGCUGUGCAGGGCACAGGGCAACCCAGCCUCUCCUCGGGCCCUUUAGAGACAACAAUCUCCCCAGCAAAGGGCAGGAUGUAUGGGGGUAAUUUUGACCGAGUGCUUCUUUCCUGAGAGAGAACAAUAAUAAUAAUUACAAUAAUAAUACUAAGAAUAAAGGAAAGGCCCUGAGAGCUUUCCCUCCCUGCAAGCAGAGGAAGACUUUUGCUUUUUGGUGCUGUACUGGGGACAUUAAGGGAAGGGAAAUGGGCAUGAAUGUGCUGCAUUUGCAGCUCAAAACCCCACGAACUGUGACAUCCCUCCCCUAAAUUGGCCUAAA
This is a long non-coding RNA of Grus americana (Whooping crane), 2309 nucleotides long. RefSeq lists it as uncharacterized. The transcript is spliced from 3 exons. NCBI's taxonomy places the organism in Eukaryota, Metazoa, Chordata, Aves, Gruiformes, Gruidae. The record is from RefSeq and is a predicted model, not a curated record.